This is a long non-coding RNA of Suricata suricatta (meerkat), 2394 nucleotides long. RefSeq lists it as uncharacterized. The transcript is spliced from 2 exons. The record is from RefSeq and is a predicted model, not a curated record. Lineage: Eukaryota; Metazoa; Chordata; Mammalia; Carnivora; Herpestidae.
UAACAGCAUAGAGCCCAGUGCGGGGCUCGAACUCAUGAACUUGAGAUCACGAAGUCAGACGCUCAACAGACUGAGCUCCCGGGCGUCCCUCAACUUCCUGUUUCUUAAAGAUGACAAAAUUUCCUGAGCGAUUUUAUUUUGAGCAGAUAGAGCCAAGAUAUAAAAGUGAGAGACGAAGGUGAAAGUGGCAAGGUGUCCGGCCCCGGGCAAGGAAGCGGUUUCCAGAAGGCAGGCACGGUCACCGGACACAGCUGAAGGGUGACAGAGACAUAAGUGCUCCUGGGUCUCCUGGCUGCUGAGCACACUCACUGGCCAGGGGCCUUCGGGUUGGGCUCCAGCCGAUGUGCCAGCGAGGCGAGUGCACGGGAGUGUGGGAGACACCGGAGCGGCGACACGGCCUCACCCCCCUCCUGGGAGGCCACCCAGGCCACCCACCUCCCCACCUCUCCUGAGUUGAAGCUGCUAAAUGGCACAGGCUCCUAGCAAGGGCAGAGACAGCAGAAAAUCUAGUGAAAUGGUUCAAAGUGGUUUUUCUGUUCAUGUUGAGGAAACAGUGGUCUGAGGCCACUUUUCUGCUUUUUCUUGGAAAAAAGCCCAGCAGCCUCGCUGAAAUUUCCCUGGAGCGGCCCCCUCCCGGAGGAGCGCGUCCGUGCGUGGGAAUGACGGGGACAGAGGGCUGAGCAGCAGGCCAGGGCCCUGAGGCUCGCGGCGCUGACCAGACUGUGGGGCCUGGCACCGGUCACUGGCGAGCUGUCUGUCGCCCCAGCUCUUCCAGGAACGGUCUGCUGCGUCAGCUCGGAGCACGUGGGGUUUAGCCAAGUCCACACCGCGGAGGGAAGCUCCGCCGGGGGAGUUCGGAGGCUGGGGACGGGAGUGUGGACAAGGAGAGACAGGCUCCUGCUGGGGGCGCAGGGACUGUCACGGCCUGGUGCAGGCAGCCGCAGGGAGGUGUGUGCGAGCAGGGGGUGAGGGGUGUUCUUACUCUUUGGAGCUUUUGCAGGGGGGAGGGGGGGAAGGGAGGGUGCGAAAGGAGGGAAGGAACAAGGGAGGGAAGGAAGGAAGGUGACAGAAUCGAGUCUCUCUGGUAGUUUAUCCAUAACGUCCAGGAACCGCUAGGCGUAAAGAACAAGACGAUGCGACCAAACUCGAGAGAAAACACAAGGGAACAAACUCAACGUGACCCAGAGGCAACCGGGGGGACGUUCCCCCGGCAGGUGUAAUACAGGGACAGGAGCAGACACUGCACAGGACUGGAGCAAGUGCCGAAAAUGAAAACCAGAGAAACUUCUGGAAAGAAAGAAUCAGUUGAGCCAGGGAAUAGUAUACACACGUAAAUGGAGCUCCCUAAGGAGGAGAGAGGGACAGGAGGGAACUUGCCCUAGACAGGGAGAAAGCACAGGCGGGUCACAUGCAGGAGAAGGAAAGGUACCCAGAAUCCACAAGGGCCACAAGCAACGUGGGAACACAGACCCCCAACACAGUGCGGGGAGGGCUCCCGGAGGAGGAGGAGCCUCCGAGCAGGUGCGCAACCCCGGGGGUCGGAGAGAGUGCCCUGAGGCCACCAUGCGACACCGACACGCAAUCGCCAGGCUGUGGGAGGGCGAGACGGUCGUCGCGAACGUGUGCACCGCUGUGCGGGUCGGGCACGAGAGUCACCACUUCCGCACAGAGACCGUCGCCACUGUGCGUGGCUACUCACACCCGGGGACACCGUGAUUCUGUCCCAGAAACAAACCAAGGAGGCCACCAUGUUCAAGGAAAAGACUAACAGGUGGUAGUUUUGCCCAAGGAUAAAAUCUCAGCUUUUCCGAUACGUCUGAUGAAGCGUGUUGACAUCCGUGAACUCCGAGAGCACCGUGUGGUCACAGGGUCACUUGUGCGUGAAAGAUCAGAGACCGACCACCGGGUUUGAAACAUGACACGGUACAACGCAUUCCAACAUCGCAACUAACUUCUGACGACUGCCACAGGGCAGGGCGCCCGGGCCCCCCGGCCCCCCCGCUUCAGCUCAGGUCAGAUCUCAUAGUUCGUGAGUCUGUGCCCCGCGUCGGGCUCUCUGGACUCCGCACAGAGCCUGUCAGAUCCUUGGCCCUCCCCCCACCUCUCAAAAACAAUUAAAAGUGAAAAAAGAUGAAUUAGCAUUGGCUGAGCUGUGGCAUCAAAGGAGGCCUGUGUGUGUCUGAAGAAGCCCCUUUCUUUCCUACCUACUGCCACGAGGCUCAACCUUCAGCUAAAAAAACCCCCUAUUUUACCAAGUGAAGUGCAAAAGCAGAAAGUGACUCUGUCCAGCUAAUUGGACAUUGAAGAGAUUUGGAAAAAUAUAAGGCAAUGCUACUUUUCACACUGAAUUUGUUUCCGAGAAUGUAUAAAAUAUAAAAAUUGCUUUAAUGAAAA